This 334-nucleotide unclassified non-coding RNA is filed under the name soil metagenome. RNAcentral's name for it is "partial contains 5.8S ribosomal RNA, internal transcribed spacer 2, and large subunit ribosomal RNA". The stretch from base 1 to 120 matches the Rfam family "5.8S ribosomal RNA", at positions 35 to 154 of the family's 154-position model. The record is from RNAcentral.
GAUGAAGAACGUAGCGAAAUGCGAUAAGUAAUGUGAAUUGCAGAAUUCAGUGAAUCAUCGAAUCUUUGAACGCACAUUGCGCCCGCCAGUAUUCUGGCGAGCAUGCCUGUUCGAGCGUCAUUUCAACCAUCAAGCCCCAGGCUUGUGUUGGAGCCCUGCGGCUGCCGCAGCCUCCCAAAACCAGUGGCGGGCUCGCUAUCACACCGAGUGCAGUAGUUUACUCUUCGCUCAGGGCGUGUGGCGGGUGCUAGCCGUGAAACCCCCAACUUCUCAAGGUUGACCUCGGAUCAGGUAGGAAUACCCGCUGAACUUAAGCAUAUCAAUAAGCAGAGGA